CGCCGUAACAUGGCCUUUUCAGAUUUGACGGGACGCAUACAAUCCCCUUUUUCCAAAGACCCAGUCCGGAUCCAAAUGACUACCCAACUUCUAAGGUGGUAGUUCUACUGGUUGCGGGUCGACGCUGAGAUCCGCCGCGCUUAAAGAGGCUGCUCCGUGCGCAGUCCUUCGACGCCGCUUGUGAAGGAACCGGCCUCCUCCCAGCCCUUCUCAUUUGGGUUGUUUAUCUACCGUUGGUUGUGAAGUCGUUGUCUAAUAAGUAGUCGUCCGUGUGUCGGUGUCUAACUGUCUGCUGAGGACCUCCGUCGGUGUAGCCCACUAGGGUCCGCUCAGUUCCUUAAUCAUAGUGCCUUAGGUUCGUAAUAUGAACCUUGGUGAGGUGUUCCUUUGUCGACGGAGGUGUAUAGGAGAUACGUACCAGUGUUCCUUAAGACGCUCCUACACGACCUUUAUCUCCUCAGAGAGGAAAAUUUACGAUUGAAACUCAGAAAGGAGAGUUUCAACUUAGAAGUUCCCCUCUGUGGCGAACAUUGGCGGCAAUGUGUACCAGUACGGAAGCACCGAAGAAAAAAUCAACCUGCGACGGUAGCUGAUCCUAACUCUGUCCAUUAGAACGUCGUUCUGUUCUGACCAACAUUACGUGACGUGGUACGGUAAGUGUCACCGGUAUUCCUUGAACGGGAGCUCAACUAUCGUCGUCUCGGACGAGACAGUGCUCUACACUUGUUUAAAUUUCUCAGUGGGAACAAAGAGCGACAGUACUCUCUAAAAACACUACACCAGCUCUUUGAUCAGUCUUAAUGACUAAGACGAGUACCUCCUCUCAAACCGAACUUACGAGAUGUACCACGACAGUCUUUACUAUUAGGUCAAUAACGAUCUGUUUAAUACCUCUGUGCGGGACUUGAACGGUCUCUUCCAUUGUGCCUAAACCAAUGAGGUUAUUCUUACCGCCAUGCAAUACCGUUCUACGCGCACCACGCUCUUAACGACGCUGUACUAAAAAGGAAUCCCAUACUUUACGUGUUCUUGUAGAAAGGAGACGAAUUAACACGGCGUCGACCUCCAGUCCAAUUACAACGAGUUCUUUAAGAGUCUGUAACGGGACUACGAGGAAUAGCACUUUAUCCACCACUCUGAGCCUGUACGGAAGUAUAUCGACAUAACUUGUUAGUAUAGCUCAAGCAAUUUAAAUAGGACUCGUGUGGUAUAGAAGCUUUCGAACAAUUGUACGUUCUGUCGUUGUCUUUUUGACGCAAUGUAAUGCGUCAGGUCCCCACGAUAGGAUUUUAUUAACGACGGAAUGACAGAGUACUCCUAUAUCUGUCUCGUCAUGAACUGUUGUCACGAUUUGGUUGUCGAACCCUUGACACCUAGUUAUGCAUAACGCGGUUUUCGUAUUUGACCUUAUUGCAUACCUACGAAUUCAACUUUCCGGCAGGGGUUUUAUGGUACACAGAAGUUUUAUAAGUACCACUACAGUUCGUUCCUCGUUAAUUACUUAGUUCGCCCCAUCGUUUCAGUGGAACGGGUGACGAAAGUAAGACGGACAUUCUAUGUUUCCACUACGACCUUCGCUCCCUGAACGGUACUACAGAUCCUUCUAACGUAUAGUCCGUAAGGACUAGAGUCUGCGGAAUCGCCGCACGAGGAGCAAACGACAGCGGAACUAUACGUGCUAGGUCCUGUAUAGUAAAUGAUUCUUCGAGUACACCAAACGAAUGCACCGAACAAGUCGAUCAAAUAUACGUCAUUACCAGGGCGCAGAGGUGACCAACUGGUAGCGUGGUACGGAAGACCACGAAAAACCGGGUAAGAAUGAUCCGUCGACCCGUCUACCGGCGGUUUGAGAAUAUCCAAGACUAUGUUAGAGCUUCGUCACCUUCACUACUGGGAGGAGGAGGAGGGCCUUAGAUUUGGGCUUGUACACCUGAAGAUACACUGCACGUGCACAAAAUGUUCAUCACUUAAAGGUAUUCAAUUGUUAUACAUACUUAAAUGCUUGAACACACUACACAUGAUCAUACUUUGUAAACAAAUAUAUACACAUGAUGAAGUUUAAUACGGUUAUAUACACCUGAUGAAGUAAACAGAUAUAUACUGUUGUAAAAAAUAUAUACACGAAGUCUAAAUA
This 2134-nucleotide ribosomal RNA is filed under the name Triticum aestivum (bread wheat). RNAcentral describes it as "partial small subunit ribosomal RNA". Lineage: Eukaryota; Viridiplantae; Streptophyta; Magnoliopsida; Poales; Poaceae. The record is from RNAcentral.